GCUAAUGAAAGCAAAACUUCCCUUUCACUUCCCAGUUCCUGGAUUUUUUUCUCCCUGUGAGGCAUGUCCACAGUCUCUGAUGGUCCCAUAGCUCACUCACUUUCAGUCAUAGUUCCAUGAGCUCAAAUGACAGGUAUUUCUUUCAUUUGCCCCUAAAAUAUCUUCAUUCUGUAUAAAUACUCUCAGAAGAAAAGAACUAGAACAUAUUAUUCAAACUAUUCAUCAUUCAUUCAGUGGAAUAAUCAAGUCAAUUCACUCAUUCAUUCAUUCAUUCAUUCAUUCAUUCAUUCAUUUCGAGACAGAGUCUCACUACAUAGCCCUGGUAGGCCUGGAAAUCACCAUGUAGACCUGGCUGGUCUCAAACUCACAGAGAUCUGCCAGCCUCUGAGAUAAAUGGGCAAUGUUCAGUGACUAUUAUCCUAGUGAUGGGUCAGGCCCAGACUAUAAUCCUAGCUCUUAAAAGGCUGAGGCAGGAAUUCCCUAAUUGAAGGCCAACCUGGUCUAUAGGAUUGACACACACACAAACAUACAGAUUUAAAAAGAAAACAGUAAAAUCACACACACACACACACACACACACACACACACACACCUUCUAACCAAGUCUCUGUUCAUAUGUCACCUUCCUAAGAAGGCACACCCUGGCCACCCUUGUUGAAAUUAUGUGCGCUCCCUCACCACCACAGCAUUCCUGAUGUCUCCUCCUCCACUACCUGGUGUAUAUUUCUGAUGCCAUUUCCUCGUGCACUCUCUGUUGUCCACUGCCUGCUGUCUUUGCUGUCAGGUCAGAGAUUAUCUGUGUGGAUCACCAGACACCUGUGGCAGUCACCGCAGUAGGUAUCCAGCAGGUACCUGUGGAAUUAGUGUUGUCUGAAAGCGCCCAGAUAAACACACAGUUUCAUUUGGGCCUGAAUUAUACACAGAACAGCGAGGGAAUCGUUCUUGUCACACAAAAGGCAAAUCACAUCCUCGAGUCUUUAAAUUGUUCACAGCUAACGCUGUGUUUUACUGAUUUUAAUCAAUGGAAACUCCCAUAGUGGAGCCGCGAGCUCACUGUGUGCUCCUGGGGGGAGGGGGUUGUCAUUGUUACAUGUUUUGAGCUACAAAAGGCUUUCAGAACACUGAAAACUUGGUUAAAAAACAAAGACAGAGUAAAAACAAAAAACAAAAAACAACAAAACCUCUCCGUGGGUUUAAUUAAUGGUUACUUGCUAAGAAUAUUUGUUUCCAGGUGGAAGAGAAGGCUCGGCAGUUAAGAGCACUUGCUGUUCGUGUGGAGGACCACAUUCACGUCCGAGCACCUUCGCGACAGCUUACAAUUGCUCAUGAUUCCUUCUAGCUCUGGUGAUCCCACACCCUCUUCUGGCCUCUUUGGGCAUUGCACCCAUUUGCACAUAUAUACAUACAUGCACAUACACAUAAUUGAAAAUAAAUAUUUAUUUUAAAACGAUAUUUAUCUCUUCUGAGGCCCCAUUUUCCCCUCCAUCUUAGUGUUAACUAUAGUAAGAAUCUAACAAUCCAAAUAAGCCCACAUAAAAGACACACAAUCCAGAUAUUUUAUUUAAAAACUAUAUGCCUAGAUUGGCAGAUCUAAGACUGUACUAACUUAUUGCCCAGUUAUAAUGUCCCUUGUUACUUGCUGUUUCUCCUGGCCACACAGUUCUGGUUCAUGGUGACUUCCUUCUCUCCCCCCACCGCCACCUGUAACCCUCUUUCUCAAACCUCCAUUCCCAUCUUUCUCUCCCAGUCACAGGCUAUUUACCAGUUAAAUAUGACAUCCCCCGAGUACGUGAGGAUCUGCUCGUUGGGAACAGCCACCUCUUGAGGACCUAGUAUUUAAUACUGGAAUACAAGCAGCGUCAGACCAACCCACUACAUUAAAGCGUACAGUGUGUGUUUGCUGAAGAGUGUUGUUUCUCCAGCUUUAGGUCCUGGCUGGUUUUGUUAGGAUUGUUUGUAUUCAUGACUAAAUAUCCUUCAUUCAUGGUUCUUCGGGAGUUCACAUGCCUCCUAGUUAUUAACCUGUGUUCAUGCCCAAGAAAUAGAAUUCAGACAAUCAGUAUUUCCCUUUGUCUCUGUUUUAAUCUGGUGUCAUUUUAUAAUGAGAACACCAAGUUUUCUUCAAUUACUUUUAAUUAGGAAAAUUAUUUUAUAAAAUAACUGAAUUGUGGGUUAGACAUAAAGUUCAGUGGAAAAACAUUUGGCUAGCAUGUAUGAGGCCCUAAACCCAGUACACACACACAUGUGCACACACACACACCUAUGCCUGUCAUGUACUAUAAAGAUAGUCUUGUGUGUGUGUGUGUGUGUAUGUGUGUGAUGAGUGCUUAUAUGGUAUAUCAUGUAAUUGCUUUUGUAUGUAUUGCUGUGUGUGCACUUGUAUGUGGGGCUACACAUGCAUGUUGGGGUCAAAGUGACAUCUGCUAUCUUCCUCUUCCUUUCCACAUUAUUUUCUGAAGCAGAGUCUGCCACUGAAGCUGUACUGACCUGCCAAGCUAGGUCCCCAGGUCCUCUCCUACCUCAACUCCAUGCAGCACUGGGGUUUCAGGUGCACAUCUCUACACCCGGCUUUUCACGUGGGAGUUUCAGAUCUGAGUUUAGGUGACCAUGCUUGCGUGCUGCUUUGCCGACGGAGGUCUUUGCAGCCCGCCAGCCUUUGCUUCUUUAAUGGAAGAGAUUGCACUGAAAGACUUUUGUGUUGUUCCCAUUUCUG
Molecule: long non-coding RNA, 2713 nt
Filed under: Mus musculus (house mouse)
Lineage: Eukaryota; Metazoa; Chordata; Mammalia; Rodentia; Muridae
Description: long non-coding RNA chr17:49627728-49630441
Source: RNAcentral